UACGUAGGGUGCAAGCGUUGUCCGGAAUUAUUGGGCGUAAAGAGCUCGUAGGCGGUCUGUCGCGUCUGCUGUGAAAACCUGGGGCUUAACCCCGGGCCUGCAGUGGGUACGGGCAGACUAGAGUGCGGUAGGGGAGACUGGAAUUCCUGGUGUAGCGGUGAAAUGCGCAGAUAUCAGGAGGAACACCGGUGGCGAAGGCGGGUCUCUGGGCCGUAACUGACGCUGAGGGGCGAAAGCGUGGGGAGCAGACAGG
RNAcentral lists this ribosomal RNA (253 nucleotides) under uncultured bacterium. RNAcentral describes it as "partial 16S ribosomal RNA". It matches the Rfam family "Bacterial small subunit ribosomal RNA", at positions 524 to 776 of the family's 1533-position model. The record is from RNAcentral.